ACUACACUCCUACGGGAGGCAGCAGUGGGGAAUUUUGGACAAUGGGCGAAAGCCUGAUCCAGCAAUGCCGCGUGUGUGAAGAAGGCCUUCGGGUUGUAAAGCACUUUUGUCCGGAAAGAAAUCCUUGGCUCUAAUACAGUCGGGGGAUGACGGUACCGGAAGAAUAAGCACCGGCUAACUACGUGCCAGCAGCCGCGGUAAUACGUAGGGUGCGAGCGUUAAUCGGAAUUACUGGGCGUAAAGCGUGCGCAGGCGGUUUGCUAAGACCGAUGUGAAAUCCCCGGGCUCAACCUGGGAACUGCAUUGGUGACUGGCAGGCUAGAGUAUGGCAGAGGGGGGUAGAAUUCCACGUGUAGCAGUGAAAUGCGUAGAGAUGUGGAGGAAUACCGAUGGCGAAGGCAGCCCCCUGGGCCAAUACUGACGCUCAUGCACGAAAGCGUGGGGAGCAAACAGGAUUAGAUACCCUGGUAGUCCC
RNAcentral lists this ribosomal RNA (475 nucleotides) under uncultured organism. RNAcentral describes it as "partial 16S ribosomal RNA". It matches the Rfam family "Bacterial small subunit ribosomal RNA", at positions 330 to 797 of the family's 1533-position model. The record is from RNAcentral.